RNAcentral lists this long non-coding RNA (664 nucleotides) under Elaeis guineensis (African oil palm). RNAcentral describes it as "long non-coding RNA (EGUI_LNC031255)". The record is from RNAcentral. Lineage: Eukaryota; Viridiplantae; Streptophyta; Magnoliopsida; Arecales; Arecaceae.
AUGUGGUUGACAAAAUAAGUCUACGAGAAACGGGAAGUGAAACAUGCUCGAUCCAUGGUGGACUGCAAGAAACCCCUGGGAAACAUCCACACAGUCCACGCAUCCGACCAUGGACCGCCCGAUCCACCAUGGAUCGGGAUAUCAGGGAACUGAGCCCACACGUGCGUGUGCAUGGGCCUGGGCUGUUCCCACGCCUGCGUGCAUGCACCUAGGCCUGGGCCAUGCUCCCCAUGCUGGCGCCCAGACCUAGGCAUCGCUUUGUACGUUGGGUCGUGAUUGUUAGAUGGAUGUCUGGCCAGGACACCAUCUCCUAAGACCUUUUCGAUACCGCGUGAUGCAGCAGAAAGAGAGAAGAAAUAAACAGAAAAUAAUCAAAUACGUAGAUCAGCCAAAAAGGGCUCGCCAUCACAGGGCAUGCAAACUUCACUAUGAGAAAAGAAAUAUUAUAAGAGGAGAUCUCAUCCUCAACCCUCGUACACUCAAUUUCUCCCUCACAAAAGCUCUCUCUCUAGGAAGACACCCUGAAUCCCUGAAGUGACCGCUGUUCGCUGUCCAGGAGCCUUUUUGCUCCUUUUCUCCUUAACGUCAUGCAUCUCUCUCUUUUUCUCCACGGGUUCGGUCUCUGCUGAAGCUUGUGCACGUCCACAAGAUCACCAACCACCAC